GAAACGACUGCUAAGACUGGAUAGGAGAUAAGAAGGCAUCUUCUUAUUUUUAAAAGACCUAGCAAUAGGUAUGCUUAAGGAGGGGCUUGCGUCACAUUAGUUAGUUGGUAGGGUAAAAGCCUACCAAGACGAUGAUGUGUAGCCGGGCUGAGAGGCUGAACGGCCACAUUGGAACUGAGACACGGUCCAAACUCCUACGGGAGGCAGCAGUAGGGAAUUUUCGGCAAUGGAGGAAACUCUGACCGAGCAACGCCGCGUGAACGAUGAAGUAUUUCGGUACGUAAAGUUCUUUUAUUAGGGAAGAAAAGAUGGUGGAAAAACCAUUAUGACGGUACUUAAUGAAUAAGCCCCGGCUAACUAUGUGCCAGCAGCCGCGGUAACACAUAGGGGGCGAGCGUUAUCCGGAAUUAUUGGGCGUAAAGGGUGCGUAGGCGGCUUAAUAAGUUUAUGGUCUAAGUGCAAUGCUUAACAUUGUGAUGCUAUAAAAACUGUUUGACUAGAGUUGGAUAGAGGCAAGUGGAAUUCCAUGUGUAGUAGUAAAAUGCGUAAAUAUAUGGAGGAACACCAUGAGCGAUGGCGGCUUGCUGGGUCUUAACUGACGCUGAGGCACGAAAGCGUGGGGAGCAAACAGGAUUAGAUACCCUGGUAGUCCACGCCGUAAACGAUGAGUACUAGACGUUGGGUUAAACCAGUGUCGAAGUUAACACAUUAAGUACUCCGCCUGAGUAGUACGUACGCAAGUAUGAAACUUAAAGGAAUUGACGGGACUCCGCACAAGCGGUGGAUCAUGUUGUUUAAUUCGAAGGUACCCGAAAAACCUCACCAGGUCUUGACACACUUCUGCAAAGCUGUAGAAAUACAGUGGAGGUUAUCAGUUGCACAGGUGGUGCAUGGUUGUCGUCAGCUCGUGUCGUGAGAUGUUGGGUUAAGUCCCGCAACGAGCGCAACCCUUGUUGUUAAUAGCCAUCAUUAAGUUGGGGACUUUAGCAAGACUGCCAGUGAUAAAUUGGAGGAAGGUGGGGACGACGUCAAAUCAUCAUGCCCCUUAUGACCUGGGCUACAAACGUGAUACAAUGGCUGUUACAAAGGGUAGCUGAAGCGCAAGCUUUUGGCAAAUCUCAAAAAAACAGUCUCAGUUCGGAUUGAAGUCUGCAACUCGACUUCAUGAAGUUGGAAUCGCUAGUAAUCGCGAAUCAGCAUGUCGCGGUGAAUACGUUUACGGGGUUUGUACACACCGCCCGUCA
Molecule: ribosomal RNA, 1244 nt
Filed under: 'Amaranthus tricolor' shoot proliferation phytoplasma
Lineage: Bacteria; Bacillati; Mycoplasmatota; Mollicutes; Acholeplasmatales; Acholeplasmataceae
Also listed under: 2 other names
Description: bacterial SSU rRNA
Rfam family: Bacterial small subunit ribosomal RNA
Source: RNAcentral